This 682-nucleotide ribosomal RNA is filed under the name Rhizopogon aff. fallax GO-2009-324. Its description in RNAcentral is "eukaryotic LSU rRNA". The stretch from base 235 to 389 matches the Rfam family "5.8S ribosomal RNA". Lineage: Eukaryota; Fungi; Basidiomycota; Agaricomycetes; Boletales; Rhizopogonaceae. The record is from RNAcentral.
AAGGAUCAUUAACGAAUAUAAUUCGAGGGGUUGUCGCUGGCCUCGCUCGCGCGAGGCAUGUGCACGCUUCUCGUUUUUAUCUCAACUCACCUGUGCACCUAAUGUAGGAUGCCUCUCCUCCGGGAGGGGGGACCUAUGUCUUCGUAACAUCUUCGUGUAGAAAGUCUUUGAAUGUUUACUAUCAUCGAGUCGCGACUUCUAGGAGACGCGAUUCUUUGAGAUAAAAGUUAUUACAACUUUCAGCAACGGAUCUCUUGGCUCUCGCAUCGAUGAAGAACGCAGCGAAAAGCGAUAUGUAAUGUGAAUUGCAGAUCUACAGUGAAUCAUCGAAUCUUUGAACGCACCUUGCGCUCCUCGGUGUUCCGAGGAGCAUGCCUGUUUGAGUGUCAGUGAAUUCUCAACCCCUCUCGAUUGGCUUCGAGAGGGCGCUUGGAUGGUGGAGGUUGCCGGAGACUCGGAUUCGUCCGAGACUCGGGCUCUUCUGAAAUGCAUCGGCUUGCGGUCGACUUUCGACUAUGCGCGACAAGGCUUUCGGCGUGAUAAUGAUCGCCGUUCGCUGAAGCGCAUGACCGAACGUCCCGUGCCUCUAAUACGUCGACCGCUUAUUAUCUCUCCGGAGAGAACAGGGUCUUCCUAAUUGACUUUUGACCUCAAAUCAGGUAGGACUACCCGCUGAACUUAA